CCUACGGGAGGCAGCAGUAGGGAAUCUUCCACAAUGGGCGAAAGCCUGAUGGAGCAACGCCGCGUGGGUGAAGAAGGUCUUCGGAUCGUAAAACCCUGUUGUUAGAGAAGAAAGUGCGUGAGAGUAACUGUUCACGUUUCGACGGUAUCUAACCAGAAAGCCACGGCUAACUACGUGCCAGCAGCCGCGGUAAUACGUAGGUGGCAAGCGUUAUCCGGAUUUAUUGGGCGUAAAGGGAACGCAGGCGGUCUGUUAAGUCUGAUGUGAAAGGCCUCGGCUUAACCGGGGUAGUGCAUUGGAAACUGGGAGACUUGAGUGCAGAAGAGGAGAGUGGAACUCCAUGUGUAGCGGUGAAAUGCGUAGAUAUAUGGAAGAACACCAGUGGCGAAAGCGGCUCUCUGGUCUGUAACUGACGCUGAGGUUCGAAAGCGUGGGUAGCAAACAGGAUUAGAUACCCCGGUAGUC
RNAcentral lists this ribosomal RNA (465 nucleotides) under uncultured bacterium. RNAcentral describes it as "partial 16S ribosomal RNA". It matches the Rfam family "Bacterial small subunit ribosomal RNA", at positions 338 to 795 of the family's 1533-position model. The record is from RNAcentral.